Molecule: long non-coding RNA, 873 nt
Organism: Gorilla gorilla gorilla (western lowland gorilla)
Lineage: Eukaryota; Metazoa; Chordata; Mammalia; Primates; Hominidae
Exons: 2
Source: RefSeq, a predicted model, not a curated record
AACAUUGUGCUGGGCCGGAAGAACCGCAACCAGGUCCCUUCCCAUACCAAAGCAGUAACUAUUUUGGAAAAGCCUCCUUCAUAUUGCAGCCAUUGGACAUGAUAAUACAUGUGAUGUGCUGGAGUUUGUUAAGAAUCAUGUGAAAAUUAAGCUUCUGCCCCAUCGCACUAAAGUUCCAGCCCUGAGUCCCCAUGGUUUUCUCCCUAGACUAAGAUAGAGAGGAAGAACAUGAAAUAUGCAGAAAGCAUUCUCUUAAGCAAACGUGUAUAAUUUGCCUAAAUUGUAAUUAUUUCCUGGAACAGCAUGCACCUCUAAACUCUACAGGCACAUCAUAGAUUCCAUCGUCCAGCUGUAUAAUGACAACAGAGUUCUCAGAGAACACCGGAGACUCCCCCGACUUGCCUGAAUCAAGUUUCUAGAGGUAACAACUGAUGUUGGAACUAUGAAAAGCUCUUCUCUACUUUUAACAAAGCUUAGUCACAAACAGUUCCCCAGUUGACGAGAAGAACUAAAACAACAGAACAAUUGAAAGUCCAAAUUUGAAAGCUCCAUCUCCGAGAAGCAAAUUUUACAGCCACUCCAGAUUUGUAUUCCAAAUGGAUAGUUUGAUUGUAAAAAUCACAUCCCUUCAGCCUGCAAAUGUGAUAACUGCCCAAGAGACAGUGAUGCCUAUAUCCAUAGAUAAUCCCCUUUCCCCCAACCUAUAUAUAACUGGAGUCAACAGCAGCUGGAGGAAAAUGGCAAGGACUUGUAAUCAAGAUUAAGUUAGAAAAACACUGCUGUAGACUGUUUAUCAGCUCUUCAGCAUAUGUCCGUUUUCCUUGAAGGAUGAGCGUUUAGAAACCUCUGACAAUAAAGUUUAUUUUACACACA